GAUGAACGCUGGCGGCGUGCCUAAUACAUGCAAGUCGAGCGAACGGACGAUAAGCUUGCUUCUCUGAUGUUAGCGGCGGACGGGUGAGUAACACGUGUAUAACCUACCUAUAAUACUGGGAUAACUUCGGGAAACCGGAGCUAAUACCGGAUAAUAUUUUGCACCGCAUGGUUCAAAAGUGAAAGACGGUCUUGCUGUCACUUAUCGAGGGAUCCGCGCUGCAUUAGCUAGUUGGUAAGGUAACGGCUUACCAAGGCAACGAUGCAUAGCCGACCUGAGAGGCUGGUAGGCGACACUAGAACUGGGCCACGGUCAAGACUACUGAGGGAGGCAGCAGUAGGGAAUCUUACGCAAUGGGCGAGAGCCUGACGGAGCAACGCGGCGUGAGUGAUGAAGGUCUUCGGAUCGUAAAACCCUCUUAUGAGGGAAGAACAUAUGUGGACGGAACUGUACCCAUAUUGACGGUAACUAAUCAGAAAGCAACGGCUAACUACGUG
Molecule: ribosomal RNA, 497 nt
Filed under: uncultured bacterium
Lineage: Bacteria
Description: partial 16S ribosomal RNA
Rfam family: Bacterial small subunit ribosomal RNA
Source: RNAcentral